AUUUAAAAAAAUAAUUGUAAAAUGUUAAAUAACAACAUUAAAUUAUUUAAAAAGCUUAUCCAAAAAUAUUAAAUGGACAAUAAUCUAUAUGGACAAUGUUUUGGUUAUUUAGGUAUAAAAUUUGCAAUUCCCUGGCCAUUUUCCAACAUCUCACAAAUUAACGAAUAAACCUGUAUAAACUAGAAAGAAGUCAUUGGGGGAAAUGUUGGAGAACCGAAUAGGAAUGUGCCAGCUUUCAGCCAUAAUACAGAGAAUUACAGAAUAUUCCAGUACAGUCAUUUUGGCCUCAAAUUUUAAAAAUCCCUAACUUGUUCUUCACAAAUACUGGUUUAUUCAAUAAACAGCAUUGAUUGUACAUGGUUUUUUUACUGUAAAAUAUUUUUCAUAUGUUUUUACCAAUAAUGCCUGGCUGUCUUGCAAAGAGCAACAUUUGUAACUAUAGUAUUUAUUGUCAGUUCAUUUCCACACAGGUAGCUCAAUGUAUAUAUAUAUGUUUUGUGAUUUUGGUUACAUGUAUGUAGUGUAAACUCACAAUGAUUUGAAUAAUAUUAUUAAAAGAAAAAACUUUAUGUGCAGAAUGGAACAUGUCUGUGGGUUGUGUUAAGUAUGUUUCAAACUCCCCAAUGUUUAGAAUUUAUUUUUAAAUCAUAUUUUAUUAAAUACUAUUAAUUCUGGCGUUUUUAGUAAACUAAUUAAACCCGUCUUUCUUGCCUCUCCACAAAGGCCUGUGUGAUUUGUAAAAGAUGUUUACUAUUUUAAAAUGUAACAAUUCUGUCUUU
This is a non-coding RNA of Pelobates cultripes (western spadefoot toad), 779 nucleotides long. The record is from the annotation of a GenBank genome assembly. Lineage: Eukaryota; Metazoa; Chordata; Amphibia; Anura; Pelobatidae.